ACCCUUUUUUUUUUUUUUUUUUUAACAAGGAUUUACAGGAUUUGUAGAUUAAAUUGCCCCUAUUCUCCAAGAAGCAGUGGGAACAGCAGCGCUGCAGGGUGAUGGGCUGCAGAGGCCUCUGCAGCAGGGUGGGGUCUGGGGAGACAUUCGGGUGCCUCCUGUCCACGGCCUCGAUAGGCCAGGGCGCCUGCAGCUUGGGCCCUCUUCCCCUUUCAGGUGGAGGGAGCUGUUCAUCCUCUGGGGGCUGCUGGGCAAGAAACAUUUCUUACCUGAUAAUGUGAAGCGUCAGAGGUCCCUGUUUUAUGGCUCUACUGAAAUGAAGAAAGAAAAACAAUACAUGCCCAGCUCCAGAGACACGUAAAGGGACAGAGAUUGGGGGACAGAAGGAAGUGCAUUAAUUCCUUCCACGACCCCUGAAGAGCAGCAGUGGGUCUGAGCAUCCUAUCUCCAGGAAGCGGGCCAGCAGGAUUUCCAAAGAUGAUGUUAAUAAACCCAGCCACAGUUCUGAUCUCCAGGAAAGCAAUUGCUGUGGGACAAAAGGACAAGGGUUAAAAGAGAACAGUGGGAGCUCUCUUUCCCAACUAACUCAUGCAGUGUGACGCAGAGGCUUUCAGCACAGCCCAGGGUGCCCGGGACUGAAAACCCCUUCACCAGCCCCCUCCA
This 663-nucleotide small RNA is filed under the name Pan troglodytes (chimpanzee). Its description in RNAcentral is "processed transcript". Lineage: Eukaryota; Metazoa; Chordata; Mammalia; Primates; Hominidae. The record is from RNAcentral.